AAUAAUCUUACCUUGCCUUGCCUUAAAACUAAUUUAUAUAAAAUAGCUCCAUUAUUUGUAAACUGACUUGUGUUUGUGUUUGACAUAUGUGAUGCUUCAUUUAUUUAAAAUUUUAUUUGUAGGCAAUUUCUGUUUAUGUUUUAUUAAUUCAAUUCAAACCACUAAGUUACCUAUGUGAUUCUUCAUUUAUUUGUUCUUUAAUUGUACAUUAUGUUUUAUUUGUUUCACACCACAUGUGUGAUAUAGGCUAACGUUACUGAUUUUUAUUCAACUUGUCUGUUACAUUGAUUGAGGUAAAGCACUUUAUUACCUGUAUUUAAAAGUAGGCUACUAUAGCCUACAAAUAAAGCUGUUAAAUUAUUAUUAUUAGCCUGUGGCAACUGUGAAUACAUCUCUGUAGGAUAGAAGGAAACAAGGCUGCUGAUUAAUGGGCUAAAAGAGCAUUAAACUAGGACAAAUUCACUUAUCACUGAAUAAUUACAUCUUUAUUUACAUCAUCAAUGAAAAGUGUGCCUGAGCUAUUAGUAAGGUAAGAAAGAAAAUAUUUAGAGUCGUUAAUGCUGCGGUACAGGAGGUGGCGCCAUGUAGCUUUCGUACUGGUUUGUAGUCCGACAUCAAAACCAACGAACUACUAUAGCAUUGUGUGCAAGCCUCCAUAAAACCACAACAUUAAGGGAAAGGAGAGACGGGGACGCGGGAGGAACCAGUGUCCUGUCAGCUGGGCACUUUUAGCAUCGUUAUUAGCAACGAUACACAGAAUUAUUAAACAAUGGCCAACACUGCCCGGAGAGCAGACACAAGAAACCGACAGGAGAUGUGUCUGAAGGAGACAUGUUUCAAAGCUGUCCGGAAACAUUUUGCUGUCCUGGGCAUUGAGGCUGUUCUUGGGCUGCAGUGGAGUCUGAACAAAUGACAACUCUCUCAGGCCUCACCUCUUCUAUCCAUUGUAACCCUAAAAUAAUAGCAACCAUGUCUGCUGGAUAUACAGAAGCUUCAGGUCCACAUUGGGCACAGGAAAUAUCCACGGAGGAACAUUAUCCCAUACAGUAAUUGGUCCGUAUUCUAUGUUAUUUAAUCCAUAUUCUUCUGCUACUGCAUUAAUAUUCCAGCCAAAUCCUUUACCUUUCAGUUGUUGUGUAUAUUCCCAACAGUCACACAGAACCUUUGUUGCAGGUUGUUCCUCUCCAGAUCCUUUUAACUUGACCCAAUAUGCUAAAGACAACUUAGAACAUCUCAAAUAUAAUGGCAAUUCAUCAGCUUCUACCAGCAGUGCAUUAGUAGGGGUUGUUUUCACUGCACCUAUGCUGAGUCUUAGAGCUCUGAACUGUAUUCUGUUUUUCUAAAAUACUCUUGGCUGCUGCUCCACAUACCAUACAAUCAUAAUCAAUAGACGAUCGUAUUAAAGCCCUGUAAAUAUCUAGUAGUGAUUGUUUAUCUGCUCCCCAUUGGUAACCAGAAACUGACCUCAUGAGAUUCAGUACCUUUUUUACAUUUUGUUUCAACCUGUUUAACAUGAUUCCUCCAUACACAUUUCUCAUCAAACCACAAUCCUACAUACUUGAACUCUUUCCAUAUUUUGUCCAUACAAUUUAAGCUUUGUGUUAUUAAUAUUUCUCUUUCUGGUAAAGAACAUAUAGCAUGACUUUACGACUGACAUCUUAAAUCCCCAAUCAUAUGACCAUCUUUCAACUUUUAAUAUAGCACUCUGUAUGCUAUUAGUCACAUGCCUAAUGUUUUUCCCUCUUUUCCAUAUAGCCCCAUCAUCUGCAUAAAGUGAUGAUCCAAUAUCUCUACCAACAUUUACAAAAAUGUCAUUUAUCAUGAUGUUAAACAGAACAGGGCUUAUAGCGCUCCCUUGAGGAAUACCAUUUUCAAUUUCAAAAUCCUCCAACACAGCAUCUCCAACUUUAACAACGAAAGUUCAGUUAGACAGGAAGUCUAAAACCCAGUUGUAUAGUCUUCCGCCAAUACCCAUUUCAUGCAUUUUUAUCAGUAGUCCUUCUCUCCACAUUGAAUCAUAAGCUUUCUCAAUAUCAAAAUAUACUAUAGCCAUGACCUCUUUCAUACUAACUGCCUUUUCUGCCUCAUUGCUAACUUUAACUAAAGCGUCUACCGUAGAUCUUCCUUUACGAAGUCCACUUUGGUAUUUGUUUAGCAGUCCUCUUUGCUCUAAAUAAUAUGACAAUCUACAGACAAUUAUCUUUUCCAUCCAUUUACACAAGUGCGAUGUUAAGGCUAUAGGUCUGUAGUUUCCUGCAUUAAUUGUGUCUUUACCAGGUUUACCAAAAGGUACUAUCAGAGCACUUUUCCAACUAUCAGGCAUUACACCUUCUCUCCAUAUCUUAUUGAACAGUUUUAGCAUCAUUUCCAAGACUUCUUUUGGUAAUUGUCUAAACAUAGCAUAGCAUAGUUGAUCUUGUCCUGGAGCUGUAUAUCCACUUCCAUCUAGGACCAUUUUUAACUCUCGUAAUGAAAAGUCCAUGUCAAUUGCCGAUUCAUCACUAUCUUUUUUCUAAGUUACAUCACUAUAUGUUCUUAAAAUAUCCUUUUUCCGUUGGUUAUGUAUUUCAUCUAAAUGACUCCCACUAUGUACACUUGCAAACUUCUUACCUAGUAGCUCAGCUUUCUCCUUAUUUGUAAUUGCCAGGUGUUCUCCAUCUAUCAGCACUGGGAUUUUAACUGAUUUUCUUUCCCACUCAUCUUUUUGAUCAUUGCUCAAAUGUCACCCAAUUUAACUUCUCUACCAAUGGAGCAGAAUUGCCUCCAUGCAUUCUUCUUGGAUGACUUAAUUAUUUUCCGUGCCAUAGCCCUCUUUCUUUCAUAGUCAAUCAGAUUGUCUUGGCUCAAAUGCUUUCUUAAAAUUCUGAAUGCAUGAUUUCUGUCUUUUAUAGCAUUUUUACAUUCAUCGUUCCACCAUGGAACUAUUUUCUUUUUCUCAUUCACUGUGCUCUUAAGGAUGCAGGUUGUUGCAGCACUAGUAAUCAUGGAAGUCAAUGCUGCUGCGCAGCUAUUUACAUCACCCUCCAUUGAUAUUCUUUCAGAAUAUUCAGUACAAAGUUCUCUUAUUUUUUUCCCAGUUAGCUUUAUGAAAACACCAUCUCUCUAUUACAUGACCUUCCUGAACAUACAUAUCAAAGUUCAUGGAACACAAUAUUGGAAAGUUAUCACUCCCUAUGUUGGUAUCAUUCUUUACAUUCCAUUCACAUAAAUUACUCAUAUUUACUGAGACUAAAGUAAGAUCUAUACAAGAAACUGAAUUUCUUGUAACAUUAACCCUGGUACCUCUUCCAUCAUUAAGCCAAGAAAGUGAUCUCUCCUCGAUUAGUUCUUCAACUACUUCUCCAUUAGUGCCUGUAUGGUCACUUCUCCACAGAGUAUUGUGAGCAUUAAAGUCUCCACACCAUAUUUCUCUAUCUACACUUUCUGAGAUCUCAUGGAAUGUUUGCAUUGAUAAUUUCUUGCACGGAUUAUAAAAAUUGACUACUUUGAUAUUUCCUCUGGGACUACACAUUUCUACUACUACACAUCCAUACUCAUUUGGAACGGUUACCCUUCUAUAUGCUAAAGUAUCUUUAAUAAAUGUUACACAUCCUCCACCUUGUUUUCCAAUUCUGUCACAUCUAACCGAGUUGUAGCCUCCAAAUGUGGUCUGAACCAAGUUUCUUGUAUACACAUAACAUCAGGUACAUCAUAACAUCUUCCAGAUCAGUUACAACCUUCUUGAACUCUUGUCCAUUUGCAAUUAAACUUCUGGCAUUCCAGUGGAGGAUAUGAAAUACCAUAAUGAGGCUAAUCGCCUUGAGACACUCCAUUAGUCGGGUUCAACAUCUCAUGAAUCAGUUCAGCUGUAACUUCCAUGAUCCCCAGUAUCUCUAUGGCUGCCUCUACAAUUGUCUUGAUUCUAUCACUUUUUCUUCUGCUGUAUUGCCACAUUUACAGUCUUACAGAUGAAAGCAACAAAGUUGGUUUUACCCACAAUCAGUGUCUUCAUUAAUAUCCUUGGAUUUGUUUCUGUUUGCCUCUGACUUGGUGUUGGAGAUGAAACCUCAAUUACUCGUCUGUUCUCAGACUCUUGGGCUCUAUUUACUACUUGUGUAACACUGGAUCUGAAUAGUUCACUUUCCUUCACUUUUUUUUUGCUGCAUCAGCAUAAGAUACCUGAUUAGUUACUUUAUAUAUAUGUACCUCUCUAGCUUGCCUUUGAACAGGGCAUCCUCCAAAAGCACCGCUAUGCUCACCGCCGCAAUUACAACAUUUCACUUUUGUAUCCUGGCCAGAUUUUCCAUAUUCAUGUUCACCUCCACACCUAGCACAUCUUUGUUUUCCUUUACAUUGUCCAGCAGUGUGUCCCAUUCUUUGACACUUGAAACAUCUAAUUGGUGCUGGGAUAAACUCUCUUCAGUGUUUCCCACAGAUUGACAGUGUAACUGUGGCGGGCGGAGCUUAGCUCUCCUUCUUUGCUAGGCCCCUUGCAUGCUGGCUAAUAACUUUUUUUAAGCUGGGUAUCCGACAUUGACAGCGUUGUGUUGGACAGAUUUGUGCAGCGGAAAUGUCACCACCUCCACGUCAUAGGUUGAACUUCCAGAACUAUCGCACCUUCCUUUCCUCUUAUUAUUUACAUCCUGCCACGGCAUACUAUCACUAUCUCCAUCCGUACUUUUACCCAUGAGAAUUACAUUCGCGGCACAGUUCCGCUGCACAAAUUCGCCAAAUACCAA
Long non-coding RNA from Micropterus salmoides (largemouth bass), 4718 nucleotides. RefSeq lists it as uncharacterized. The record is from RefSeq and is a predicted model, not a curated record. Lineage: Eukaryota; Metazoa; Chordata; Actinopteri; Centrarchiformes; Centrarchidae. The transcript is spliced from 3 exons.